This 355-nucleotide ribosomal RNA is filed under the name uncultured bacterium. RNAcentral's name for it is "partial 16S ribosomal RNA". It matches the Rfam family "Bacterial small subunit ribosomal RNA", at positions 338 to 685 of the family's 1533-position model. The record is from RNAcentral.
CCUACGGGUGGCAGCAGUAGGGAAUCUUCCACAAUGGGCGCAAGCCUGAUGGAGCAACACCGCGUGCGUGAAGAAGGGUUUCGGCUCGUAAAGCUCUGUUGUUGGAGAAGAACGUGCGCGAGAGUAACUGUUCACGCAUUGACGGUAUCUAACCAGAAAGUCACGGCUAACUACGUGCCAGCAGCCGCGGUAAUACGUAGGUGGCAAGCGUUAUCCGGAUUUAUUGGGCGUAAAGCGAGCGCAGGCGGUUGCUUAGGUCAGAUGUGAAAGCCUUGGGCUUAACCGAAGAAGUGCAUCGGAAAACGGGGGAAUGGAGUGCAGAAGAGGAGAGUGGAACUCCAUGUGGAGCGGUGGA